Molecule: ribosomal RNA, 465 nt
Filed under: Vreelandella stevensii
Lineage: Bacteria; Pseudomonadati; Pseudomonadota; Gammaproteobacteria; Oceanospirillales; Halomonadaceae
Description: partial 16S ribosomal RNA
Rfam family: Bacterial small subunit ribosomal RNA
Source: RNAcentral
CCUACGGGGGGCUGCAGUGGGGAAUAUUGGACAAUGGGGGGAACCCUGAUCCAGCCAUGCCGCGUGUGUGAAGAAGGCCCUCGGGUUGUAAAGCACUUUCAGUGAGGAAGAACGCCUGGUGGUUAAUACCCAUCAGGAAAGACAUCACUCACAGAAGAAGCACCGGCUAACUCCGUGCCAGCAGCCGCGGUAAUACGGAGGGUGCGAGCGUUAAUCGGAAUUACUGGGCGUAAAGCGCGCGUAGGUGGCUUGAUAAGCCGGUUGUGAAAGCCCCGGGCUCAACCUGGGAACGGCAUCCGGAACUGUCAAGCUAGAGUGCAGGAGAGGAAGGUAGAAUUCCCGGUGUAGCGGUGAAAUGCGUAGAGAUCGGGAGGAAUACCAGUGGCGAAGGCGGCCUUCUGGACUGACACUAACACUGAGGUGCGAAAGCGUGGGUAGCAAACAGGAUUAGAUACCCCGGUAGUC